GACGAACCGAGCGAACGUUGUUCGGAAUCACUGGGCUUAAAGGGUGCGUAGGUGGUGGGGUAAGUCGGAUGUGAAAUCUCCGAGCUCAACUCGGAAAUGGCAUUGGAUACUACUCUGCUCGAGGGUUGGAGGGGGGACUGGAAUGCUUGGUGUAGCAGUGAAAUGCAUAGAUAUCAAGCGGAACACCAGUGGCGAAGGCGAGUCCCUGGACAACUCCUGACACUGAGGCACGAAAGCUAGGGGAGCAAACAGG
This 253-nucleotide ribosomal RNA is filed under the name uncultured bacterium. Its description in RNAcentral is "partial 16S ribosomal RNA". It matches the Rfam family "Bacterial small subunit ribosomal RNA", at positions 524 to 776 of the family's 1533-position model. The record is from RNAcentral.